AAAGAAUUAGUUAAAAAUAACAUUAGAUUGUCAGUCUAAAAUUACUAAUGUUUUAGUAUUCUUUA
RNAcentral lists this transfer RNA (65 nucleotides) under Bithynia leachii. RNAcentral describes it as "tRNA-Asp". The record is from RNAcentral. Lineage: Eukaryota; Metazoa; Mollusca; Gastropoda; Littorinimorpha; Bithyniidae.